Molecule: ribosomal RNA, 463 nt
Filed under: uncultured bacterium
Lineage: Bacteria
Description: bacterial SSU rRNA
Rfam family: Bacterial small subunit ribosomal RNA
Source: RNAcentral
CAAGACUCCUACGGGAGGCAGCAGUGAGGAAUAUUGGUCAAUGGGCGCGAGCCUGAACCAGCCGAGUCGCGUGAGGGAAGACGGUCCUAUGGAUUGUAAACCUCUUUUGUCGGGGAGCAAAAGACGCCACGUGUGGCGUUCCGAGAGUACCCGAAGAAAAAGCAUCGGCUAACUCCGUGCCAGCAGCCGCGGUAAUACGGAGGAUGCGAGCGUUAUCCGGAUUUAUUGGGUUUAAAGGGUGCGCAGGCGGAGGUGCAAGUCAGCGGUCAAAUUGCGGGGCUCAACCCCGUCCUGCCGUUGAAACUGCAUCCCUUGAGUGCGCGAGAAGUAUGCGGAAUGCGUGGUGUAGCGGUGAAAUGCAUAGAUAUCGCGCAGAACUCCGAUUGCGAAGGCAGCAUGCCGGCUCCACACUGACGCUGAGGCACGAAAGCGUGGGUAUCGAACAGGAUUAGAUACCCGCGUA